Molecule: transfer-messenger RNA, 353 nt
Filed under: Endomicrobiia
Lineage: Bacteria; Pseudomonadati; Elusimicrobiota
Also listed under: 1 other name
Description: OXYB2-FULL-48-7 sp018816525 Standard tmRNA
Rfam family: transfer-messenger RNA
About the family: Bacterial tmRNA, also known as 10Sa RNA or SsrA, is named for its dual tRNA and mRNA-like properties. Its role is to liberate the mRNA from a stalled ribosome. To accomplish this part of the tmRNA is used as a reading frame that ends in a translation stop signal.
Source: RNAcentral
GGGGGUGAACAGGGUUCGACAGGGGUAGUGUAAAUAAUGGUUGCAGGCCGUGGUUGGCCGAAGGCCACGUUAACAAUCGGCCACUACAAAUAAGUGCAAACACUUAUGCAUACGCUGCCUAAUUGAUGGCGGCACGCUGCUGUUUGACGCCUAUAAAACGGACAGCGUCUAAAUAGGCUUACUUCUAAAAUUUGAUGCCCCGACAGCUUUUAGAAGGACAAAAUAAAUUGGGGACCGUUUUCAGCGUCAGGUUCAGAGACAAACUGAAAACGGCAAAAAAAAUCUGAACUAAGCCUGUAGGCGCCUUAUUUGCGUAUUUCUGGACCGGGGUUCAAUUCCCCGCACCUCCACCA